Molecule: ribosomal RNA, 2225 nt
Filed under: uncultured Ureaplasma sp.
Lineage: Bacteria; Bacillati; Mycoplasmatota; Mycoplasmoidales; Mycoplasmoidaceae
Description: partial contains 16S ribosomal RNA, 16S-23S ribosomal RNA intergenic spacer, and 23S ribosomal RNA
Rfam family: Bacterial small subunit ribosomal RNA (bases 1-1486)
Source: RNAcentral
GAUUAACGCUGGCGGCAUGCCUAAUACAUGCAAAUCGAACGAAGUACUUGUACUUAGUGGUGAACGGGUGAGUAACACGUAUCCAAUCUACCCUUAGGUUGGGGAUAACUAGUCGAAAGAUUAGCUAAUACCGAAUAUCAAUAUUACUAUCGCAUGAGAAAAUAUUGAAAGAUCCGUUUGGAUCGCCUUUGGAUGAGGGUGCGGCAUAUCAGAUAGUUGGUGAGGUAAUGGCUCACCAAGUCAAUGACGUGUAGCUGUACUGAGAGGUAGAACAGCCACAAUGGGACUGAGACACGGCCCAUACUCCUACGGGAGGCAGCAGUAGGGAAUUUUUCACAAUGGGCGAAAGCCUGAUGGAGCAAUGCCGCGUGAAUGAUGAAGGUCUUAUAGAUUGUAAAAUUCUUUUAUUUGGGAAGAAAAACUAAAGUAGGAAAUGACUUUAGUCUGACUGUACCAUUUGAAUAAGUAUCGGCUAACUAUGUGCCAGCAGCCGCGGUAAUACAUAGGAUGCAAGCGUUAUCCGGAUUUACUGGGCGUAAAACGAGCGCAGGCGGGUUAACAAGUUUGGUAUGAAAGGCUUUUGCUUAACGAAAGUUUGUAUCAAAAACUGUUAAUCUAGAGUGUAGUAGAGAGUUCUGGAAUUCCAUGUGGAGCGGUGGAAUGCGUAGAUAUAUGGAAGAACACCAGUGGCGAAGGCGAGAACUUAGGCUAUCACUGACGCUUAGGCUCGAAAGUGUGGGGAGCAAAUAGGAUUAGAUACCCUAGUAGUCCACACCGUAAACGAUGGUUAUUAAAUGUCGGUGCGAUUUGCAUCGGUGUUGAAGCUAACGCAUUAAAUAACCUGCCUGGGUAGUACAUUCGCAAGAAUGAAACUCAAACGGAAUUGACGGGGACCCGCACAAGUGGUGGAGCAUGUUGCUUAAUUUGACGAUACACGUAAAACCUUACCUAGGUUUGACAUCUCCUGCAAAGUGAUAGAAAUAUCAUGGAGGUUAACAGGAAGACAGGUGGUGCAUGGUUGUCGUCAGCUCGUGUCGUGAGAUGUUGGGUUAAGUCCCGCAACGAGCGCAACCCCUGUUGUUAGUUACUUUAUCUAACGAGACUGCUACCGCAAGGUAGAGGAAGGUGGGGAUGACGUCAAAUCAUCAUGCCCCUUAUAUCUAGGGCCGCAAACGUGCUACAAUGGACGAUACAAACUGUUGCCAAAUCGUAAGGUGGAGCUAAUCAGAAAAGUCGUUCUCAGUUCGGAUUGAGGGCUGAAAUUCGCCCUCAUGAAGUUGGAAUCACUAGUAAUCGCGAAUCAGACAUGUCGCGGUGAAUACGUUCUCGGGUCUUGUACACACCGCCCGUCAAACUAUGGGAGCUGAUAAUAUCUAAAAACGUUUUGUUAACCGCAAGGAGGCAGAUGUCUAGGAUAGGAUUGGUAACUGGAGUUAAGUCGUAACAAGGUAUCCCUACGAGAACGUGGGGAUGGAUCACCUCCUUUCUUCGGAGUAUAUUCAUACUUUAAAGAACACAAAAAAGUGUACUUUUAUUUAAUAAAAAUCCUAAUUAUAUGUCUCACAAUUUUAAAUAUAGUUAGGUCGGAUUCUAUUAAGUUUUGAGAGUUCAAACUCUCCUAUCAAAUCAAAUUUGAUAGAAGAUAGUUCUUUGUAAACUAAAUAUUAUCAUCAAUCUUUCCGGUUGAUUUUUUGUAAAAGAAAUCAGCCAAUUAAGUUAACAAAAUUAAGGAUUUAUUAAUAAGUUAUUAAGAGCUUAUGGUGAAUGCCUUGGGACAUAAAGGCGAUGAAGGACGUGCAAAUCUGCGAUAUGCUACGGGUAGCUGAUAAGGAGCAAUGAUCCGUAGAUUUCCGAAUGGGGAAACCCUAUAUAAAGUAAUUUAUAUAAUCUUUAACUGAAUACAUAGGUUAUUGAAGCGAUACCUAGUGAAGUGAAACAUCUCAGUAGCUAGAGGAAAAGAAAACGAAUGUGAUUCCCUCAGUAGCGGCGAGCGAAAGGGGAACAGGCCAAACUGCACACGAUGCAGGGUUGUAGGACUAUAAUGUGGACUUAGAGAUAAUAGUAGAAUUGGUUGGGAAGCCAAACCAUAGAAUGUGAUAGUCAUGUAUACGAAAUUAUCUUUAUACCUAGUAGUAUCCUGAGUACGGCGAGACACGUGGAAUCUUGUCGGAAUCCGCCCAGACCAUUGGGUAAGCCUAAAUACUAAUAUGUCACCGAUAGCGCAU